AACUUUCAACAACGGAUCUCUUGGUUCCGGCAUCGAUGAAGAACGCAACGAAAUGCGAUACGUAAUGUGAAUUGCAGAAUUCAGUGAAUCAUGCAGUCUUUGAACGCACAUUGCGCCCUCUGGUAUUCCGGAGGGCAUGCCUGUCCGAGCGUCNUUG
This 157-nucleotide ribosomal RNA is filed under the name Penicillium sp. E2. Its description in RNAcentral is "5.8S ribosomal RNA". It matches the Rfam family "5.8S ribosomal RNA". Rfam says of the family: 5.8S ribosomal RNA (5.8S rRNA) is a component of the large subunit of the eukaryotic ribosome. Lineage: Eukaryota; Fungi; Ascomycota; Eurotiomycetes; Eurotiales; Aspergillaceae. The record is from RNAcentral.